RNAcentral lists this ribosomal RNA (495 nucleotides) under uncultured bacterium. RNAcentral's name for it is "bacterial SSU rRNA". It matches the Rfam family "Bacterial small subunit ribosomal RNA", at positions 29 to 478 of the family's 1533-position model. The record is from RNAcentral.
AACGAACGCUGGCGGCGUGGAUUAGGCAUGCAAGUCGUACGAGAAUGGGAUUUGAACAUUCCUUCGGGAAUGGGAUGGUCCCUAGUAAAGUGGCAAACGGGUGAGUAACACGUGGGUAAUCUGCCCUCGAGUUGGGGAUAACAUUCCUAACGGGGUGCUAAUACCGAAUAACAUCACCGGGUCUUCGGGCCUGGCGAUCAAAGGUGGCCUCUGCUUGCAAGCUACCACUUGAGGAUGAGCCCGCGGCCCAUUAGCUUGUUGGUGUGGUAACGGCUCACCAAGGCUAUGAUGGGUAGCUGGUCUGAGAGGAUGGUCAGCCACACUGGGAUUGAGAUACGGCCCAGACUCCUUCGGGAGGCAGCAGUCGAGAGGCUUUGGCAAUGGGGGAAACCCUGACCAAGCGACGCCGCGUGGGUGAUGAAGGCCUUCGGGUCGUAAAGCCCUGUUGUGGGAGAAGAAAAGCUACAUGGAUAAUACCCACGUAGUUGACGGUUC